RNAcentral lists this ribosomal RNA (270 nucleotides) under uncultured bacterium. Its description in RNAcentral is "partial 16S ribosomal RNA". It matches the Rfam family "Bacterial small subunit ribosomal RNA", at positions 28 to 316 of the family's 1533-position model. The record is from RNAcentral.
GAUGAACGCUGGCGGCGUGCCUAAUACAUGCAAGUCGAGCGGUAAGGCCACUUCGGUGGUACACGAGCGGCGGACGGCUGAGUAACGCGUAGGAACCUACCCCGAAGUGAGGGAUAAGCACCAGAAAUGGUGUCUAAUACCGCAUGUGCUCUUAGGAGUAAAGCUUCGGCGCUUUGGGAAGGGCCUGCGUAUGAUUAGCUUGUUGGUGAGGUAAUAGCUCACCAAGGCGACGAUCAUUAGCUGGUCUGAGAGGAUGAUCAGCCAGACUGG